UACGUAGGGUGCGAGCGUUGUCCGGAAUUAUUGGGCGUAAAGAGCUCGUAGGCGGUGUGUCGCGUCGGCCGUGAAAACCUGCAGCUUAACUGUGGGCUUGCGGUCGAUACGGGCAUCACUGGAGUUCGGCAGGGGAGACUGGAAUUCCUGGUGUAGCGGUGAAAUGCGCAGAUAUCAGGAGGAACACCGGUGGCGAAGGCGGGUCUCUGGGCAGUAACUGACGCUGAGGAGCGAAAGCGUGGGGAGCGAACAGG
Molecule: ribosomal RNA, 254 nt
Filed under: uncultured bacterium
Lineage: Bacteria
Description: partial 16S ribosomal RNA
Rfam family: Bacterial small subunit ribosomal RNA
Source: RNAcentral